Molecule: ribosomal RNA, 443 nt
Filed under: Gecarcoidea natalis
Lineage: Eukaryota; Metazoa; Arthropoda; Malacostraca; Decapoda; Gecarcinidae
Description: partial 12S small subunit ribosomal RNA
Source: RNAcentral
AAAGGUAAAAUUGAGCUGUUGUUUAUAUAAAAUAAAAAGUUAUCGAAGCUAAUAAAAUUUGGUUAAAAACUAGGAUUAGAUACCCUAUUAUUCCAAAUAGAAAUUUAUAAAUCUAAAUUAGUAAUAGAUAUUAUCUUGAAAAUUAAAAAAUUUGGCGGUGAUUUAAUCUUUUUAGAGGAAUUUGUUUCUUAAUCGAUAAUCCACGUAAAAUCUUACUUAAGUUUGUAUACCAUCAUUAUCAGGUAAUUCUUAAAGGAAAAAUUACUGAAUUUAAUUGUUUAUAAAAAUUAGAUCAUGGUGCAGCUUAUGAAUAAGUUGAAAUGAAUUACAAUAAAUUAUUUUAAAAUGGAUUAAUAAUUAUGAAGGAGGAUUUAAUUGUAUAUAAGUUUAAUAAGCUUAUAAGAAAUAAGCACUAAAUCAUGUACAUAUCGCCCGUCGCUUUC